Molecule: long non-coding RNA, 371 nt
Organism: Platichthys flesus (European flounder)
Lineage: Eukaryota; Metazoa; Chordata; Actinopteri; Pleuronectiformes; Pleuronectidae
Exons: 3
Source: RefSeq, a predicted model, not a curated record
AUUCCCCUUUAGUCAAACAUUUCCCCGGAUGAUGGUCAGGAAUCUACAAUGUUGUCUUUCUAAUGGGGAACCUGCAGGUAAACCAUCAAACACCUGGAAGACGCUGUGAGGUUUUCUGGGGCUGUGUGAGCAUCGACCUGCUGCUACAGAGGCCGUACUCUUGACCCAGUAACCCACAGGCCCUCCCUUCCAAGCCCCAAACGCCGCUAAGCCCAGAAAUGUGACACUCCAGACAAUUAGCAAGGCUUUGGCAUUUCAUUGCCUGAGUAAAUAAUUAAUCACCGGAUCCUGAACGGGUUUGUCUGCAAGCGAAGGAGGGCGAGGGCAACCGAGGCAGAGGACACAGAAUCUCUUUGUGGAAAAGAAGAGGA